This 496-nucleotide ribosomal RNA is filed under the name uncultured bacterium. RNAcentral's name for it is "partial 16S ribosomal RNA". It matches the Rfam family "Bacterial small subunit ribosomal RNA", at positions 30 to 523 of the family's 1533-position model. The record is from RNAcentral.
AUUGAACGCUGGCGGAAUGCUUUACACAUGCAAGUCGAACGGUAGAGGGGGCAACCCCUCGAGAGUGGCGAACGGGUGAGUAACAUAUCGGAACGUAUCCAAUAAUGGGGGAUAACGAGUCGAAAGAUUCGCUAAUACCGCAUACGCCCUACGGGGGAAAGCUGGGGACCUUCGGGCCGGGCGUUGAUGGAGCGGCCGAUAUCUGAUUAGCUAGUUGGUGAGGUAAAGGCUCACCAAGGCGACGAUCAGUAGCUGGUCUGAGAGGACGACCAGCCACACUGGAACUGAGACACGGUCCAGACUCCUACGGGAGGCAGCAGUGGGGAAUUUUGGACAAUGGGCGCAGGCCUGAUCCAGCCAUUCCGCGUGAGUGAAGAAGGCCUUCGGGUUGUAAAGCUCUUUCGCAAGGGAAGAAAACUUAGCCACUAACAUUGGUUGAGGUUGACGGUACCUUGAUAAGAAGCACCGGCUAACUACGUGCCAGCCGCCGCGGUAA